RNAcentral lists this RNase P RNA (384 nucleotides) under Chitinophagaceae bacterium. Its description in RNAcentral is "RNase P RNA component class A". It matches the Rfam family "Bacterial RNase P class A". From Rfam's summary of the family: Ribonuclease P (RNase P) is a ubiquitous endoribonuclease, found in archaea, bacteria and eukarya as well as chloroplasts and mitochondria. RNAcentral also lists the same sequence under 1 other name. Lineage: Bacteria; Pseudomonadati; Bacteroidota; Chitinophagia; Chitinophagales; Chitinophagaceae. The record is from RNAcentral.
CCUGUUAGCUGGUCAUCGCUUUUUGAAAUAUAAAAGAGGAAAGUCCGGACAGUAAAGGGCAGCACAGCGGCUAAUUACCGCUUUCCUUUUUUUAAUUAGGGGAAAAGAUAGUGCCACAGAAAAUAACUACCGCCCUUUAUGGGCUGGAAAAGGUGAAAAUGUGGGGUAAAAGCCCACAGUAAUUUUUGGUAACAAAUUUUACGGGUAAACCUUGUGUACUGAAAUGCCAAAUAAACCCCGAAUUUCCGCUGGCCCGGCGGAGUUGCAUUUAUGGAUGUCGGGAAGGGUAGGCAGAAAGAUUGAUGCAGUAAUGCAUCAGCUAGAUAAAUGAUGGCCGUUCUGCAUUGCAGAAUUACAAAAUCCGGCUUAUGGCUAACAGGUUUU